CCUACGGGGGGCAGCAGUGGGGAAUAUUGCACAAUGGAGGGAAGCCUGAUGCAGCGACGCCGCGUGAGGGAAGAAGUAAUUCGGUAUGGAAAGCUCUAUCAGCAGGGAAGAAAGUGUCGGUACCUGAAAAAGAAGCCCCGGCCAAAUACGUGCCAGUAGCCGCGGUAAGACGUAAGGAGCAAGCGUUAUCCGGAUUUACUGGGUGUAAAGGGAGUGUAGGUGGCAAAGCAAGUCCGAAGUGAAAACCCAAAGUUGAAUUAUGGGAAUGCUUUAGAAACUGCUCAGCUAGAGUGCAGGAGAGGCAAGUGGAAUUCGUAGUGUAGCGGUGAAAUGCGUAGAUAUUAGGAGGAACACCAGUGGCGAAGGCGGCUUGCUGGACUGUAACUGACACUGAGGCUCGAAAGCGUGGGGAGCAAACAGGAUUAGAUACCCCAGUAGUC
RNAcentral lists this ribosomal RNA (440 nucleotides) under uncultured bacterium. RNAcentral describes it as "partial 16S ribosomal RNA". It matches the Rfam family "Bacterial small subunit ribosomal RNA", at positions 338 to 795 of the family's 1533-position model. The record is from RNAcentral.